AAUGAUAUUUGUGGACAUAUUUUUAAAGUAAUCAUGAGUGUCGUAUCUCAUUUCAAUUAUGUGAAACUAAAAUACAAAAUAUUUAUGUAUUCCAUGUAUUAUGCAUUAACGUUAUUCAUUACAAGUACUAUAUUACUUUUCUUAUAUUUUAAUCGUAUUCAACCACAUUAUUUCAUCGUUGAAGUUUUUCACAGACAAUAUGAUAUUAUGCGUGGAAUUUUACACAGUGGGAUCCAAAAAUCACUACAUUGCCAGGAUUGUAUUAUAACUGCGAUAUCAUCACCUUUUAUGUAAUAUGUGCAAUAUUACAUACAUAAGGACCGCCGCGCAUCCUGACACGACGCGGAUGACGCAUCGACCGUUCAUUCAAUCAGCUGGCUUCGACAAUGAAUCGACAAAAAUACGCCCCAAGACGGUUUCGCUUGGCGAUUGACCAGGUAACAUCGGCGCGCAAAAUAACCGGUCAAUAAAGCGUACAAGAAUCCACGGCAUCCGGACAAUUUCUGCGUAUCCCGGAGACGGAGGCGGUGCGCCUGGUGUUAUACUCUCGUCACUCGAUGAGAAUUCGACAGCAAACACGCCCGCGCAAGAGAGAAAGAGAAAUCAGUCGCCUCGCAAUAUAUUUCUCCAAAUAACGCCACGCGCACGGCCAUCAAUCGGCUAGUCCGCGUGCCGUGCUUAUUAUAGGCUUUAUCACUCGACUCACGCAUCCGAAAAUAAAUGCCGCGCGCGCCGCGAUAUACGCACAGGUGACCUUCCACCGUCGCUAUAUAGCCGCGGAAUUUCUCUAAAAUCGUGCCCGGAAUAAGAUCAACAGAUCGAGUUAAAGUGGGUUAACUUGGGACCACGCGUUCUAAAUUCGGGAUGCAUAAUUGAGAGAUGAUUCGUCCGAAAUUGAGAUCUCGAUUGGACAUUACAAUUUUAACGCUAUUACACACAAAGAAAGAAUGUUUCCUGUUAUGUAGGAGAAAAAAAUUUUUGAUUCUUCUAUGGUUUCUAUAUAAUACUGUGUAUAAAUUCCGAUUAAGAUUUCUCAAAGUAAAA
Camponotus floridanus (Florida carpenter ant) is the source of this 1044-nucleotide long non-coding RNA. RefSeq lists it as uncharacterized. The transcript is spliced from 3 exons. NCBI's taxonomy places the organism in Eukaryota, Metazoa, Arthropoda, Insecta, Hymenoptera, Formicidae. The record is from RefSeq and is a predicted model, not a curated record.